RNAcentral lists this ribosomal RNA (449 nucleotides) under uncultured bacterium. RNAcentral's name for it is "bacterial SSU rRNA". It matches the Rfam family "Bacterial small subunit ribosomal RNA", at positions 330 to 793 of the family's 1533-position model. The record is from RNAcentral.
ACCAGACUCCUACGGGAGGCAGCAGUGGGGAAUAUUGGGCAAUGGGCGCAAGCCUGACCCAGCAACGCCGCGUGAAGGAAGAAGGCUUUCGGGUUGUAAACUUCUUUUGUCAGGGACGAAGCAAGUGACGGUACCUGACGAAUAAGCCACGGCUAACUACGUGCCAGCAGCCGCGGUAAUACGUAUGGAGCAAGCGUUAUCCGGAUUUACUGGGCGUAAAGGGAGCGUAGGCGGCCUGCCAAGUCUGAUGUGAAAUACCGGGGCUCAACCCCGGGGCUGCAUUGGAAACUGGCAGGCUGGAGUGCCGGAGAGGCAGGCGGAAUUCCUAGUGUAGCGGUGAAAUGCGUAGAUAUAAGGAAGAACACCAGUGGCGAGGGCGGAUUACUGGACGAUAACUGACGGUGAGGCGCGAAAGCGUGGGGAGCAAACAGGAUUAGAUACCCGUGUAC